RNAcentral lists this ribosomal RNA (510 nucleotides) under uncultured bacterium. RNAcentral's name for it is "partial 16S ribosomal RNA". It matches the Rfam family "Bacterial small subunit ribosomal RNA", at positions 28 to 507 of the family's 1533-position model. The record is from RNAcentral.
GACGAACGCUGGCGGCGUGCUUAACACAUGCAAGUCGAACGAAGAGCGAUGGAAGCUUGCUUCUAUCAAUCUUAGUGGCGAACGGGUGAGUAACGCGUAAUCAACCUGCCCUUCAGAGGGGGACAACAGUUGGAAACGACUGCUAAUACCGCAUACGAUCUAAUCUCGGCAUCGAGGAUGGAUGAAAGGUGGCCUCUACAUGUAAGCUAUCACUGAAGGAGGGGAUUGCGUCUGAUUAGCUAGUUGGAGGGGUAACGGCCCACCAAGGCGAUGAUCAGUAGCCGGUCUGAGAGGAUGAACGGCCACAUUGGGACUGAGACACGGCCCAGACUCCUACGGGAGGCAGCAGUGGGGAAUCUUCCGCAAUGGACGAAAGUCUGACGGAGCAACGCCGCGUGAGUGAUGACGGCCUUCGGGUUGUAAAGCUCUGUUAAUCGGGACGAAAGGCCUUCUUGCGAAUAGUGAGAAGGAUUGACGGUACCGGAAGAGAAAGCCACGGCUAACUACGUG